Molecule: ribosomal RNA, 253 nt
Filed under: uncultured bacterium
Lineage: Bacteria
Description: partial 16S ribosomal RNA
Rfam family: Bacterial small subunit ribosomal RNA
Source: RNAcentral
UACGGGGGGUGCGAGCGUUAUUCGGAAUCACUGGGCGUAAAGGGUGCGUAGACGGUAUGUUAAGUUCGUUGUUAAAGGCUCCGGCCUAACCGGAGUACCGCAAUGAAAACUGGCGUGCUAGAGGGUGAGAGAGAGAAGUGGAAUUCCCGGAGUAGCGGUAAAAUGCGUGGAUCUCGGGAGGAACACCAAUGGCGAAGGCAGCUUCUUGGCUCAUUCCUGACGUUGAGGCACGAAAGCGUGGGGAGCAAACAGG